This 989-nucleotide ribosomal RNA is filed under the name Chryseobacterium sp. RNAcentral describes it as "bacterial SSU rRNA". It matches the Rfam family "Bacterial small subunit ribosomal RNA", at positions 137 to 1133 of the family's 1533-position model. The record is from RNAcentral. Lineage: Bacteria; Pseudomonadati; Bacteroidota; Flavobacteriia; Flavobacteriales; Weeksellaceae.
UGGGGGAUAGCCUUUCGAAAGGAAGAUUAAUACCCCAUAAUAUAUUGAAUGGCAUCAUUUAAUAUUGAAAACUCCGGUGGAUAGAGAUGGGCACGCGCAAGAUUAGAUAGUUGGUGAGGUAACGGCUCACCAAGUCUGUGAUCUUUAGGGGUCCUGAGAGGGAGAUCCCCCACACUGGUACUGAGACACGGACCAGACUCCUACGGGAGGCAGCAGUGAGGAAUAUUGGACAAUGGGUGAAAGCCUGAUCCAGCCAUCCCGCGUGAAGGAUGACGGUCCUAUGGAUUGUAAACUUCUUUUGUACAGGGAUAAACCUACCCUCGUGAGGGUAGCUGAAGGUACUGUACGAAUAAGCACCGGCUAACUCCGUGCCAGCAGCCGCGGUAAUACGGAGGGUGCAAGCGUUAUCCGGAUUUAUUGGGUUUAAAGGGUCCGUAGGCGGACCUGUAAGUCAGUGGUGAAAUCUCAUAGCUUAACUAUGAAACUGCCAUUGAUACUGCAGGUCUUGAGUAAAUUUGAAGUGGCUGGAAUAAGUAGUGUAGCGGUGAAAUGCAUAGAUAUUACUUAGAACACCAAUUGCGAAGGCAGGUCACUAAGAUUUAACUGACGCUGAUGGACGAAAGCGUGGGUAGCGAACAGGAUUAGAUACCCUGGUAGUCCACGCCGUAAACGAUGCUAACUCGUUUUUGGAUUUUCGGAUUCAGAGACCAAGCGAAAGUGAUAAGUUAGCCACCUGGGGAGUACGUCCGCAAGGAUGAAACUCAAAGGAAUUGACGGGGGCCCGCACAAGCGGUGGAUUAUGUGGUUUAAUUCGAUGAUACGCGAGGAACCUUACCAAGACUUAAAUGGGAAUUGACAGGUUUAGAAAUAGAUCCUUCUUCGGACAAUUUUCAAGGUGCUGCAUGAUUGUCGUCAGCUCGUGCCGUGAGGUGUUAGGUUAAGUCCUGCAACGAGCGCAACCCCUGUCACUAGUUGCUAACAUUCAGUUG